UACGAAGGGGGCUAGCGUUGCUCGGAAUCACUGGGCGUAAAGGGUGCGUAGGCGGGUCUUUAAGUCAGGGGUGAAAUCCUGGAGCUCAACUCCAGAACUGCCUUUGAUACUGAAGAUCUUGAGUUCGGGAGAGGUGAGUGGAACUGCGAGUGUAGAGGUGAAGUUCGUAGAUAUUCGCAAGAACACCAGUGGCGAAGGCGGCUCACUGGCCCGAUACUGACGCUGAGGCACGAAAGCGUGGGGAGCAAACAGG
Molecule: ribosomal RNA, 253 nt
Filed under: uncultured bacterium
Lineage: Bacteria
Description: partial 16S ribosomal RNA
Rfam family: Bacterial small subunit ribosomal RNA
Source: RNAcentral